Molecule: ribosomal RNA, 431 nt
Filed under: uncultured Sphingobacteriales bacterium
Lineage: Bacteria; Pseudomonadati; Bacteroidota; Sphingobacteriia; Sphingobacteriales
Description: bacterial SSU rRNA
Rfam family: Bacterial small subunit ribosomal RNA
Source: RNAcentral
UUCGAUGAUACGCGAGGAACCGUUACCUGGGCUCAAAUGUAUGUUGACGUAUUCUGAAAGGGAUACUUCUUCGGACAAUAUACAAGGUGCUGCAUGGUUGUCGUCAGCUCGUGCCGUGAGGUGUCGGGUUAAGUCCCAUAACGAGCGCAACCCCUAUCAUUAGUUGCCAUCAGGUCAAGCUGGGGACUCUAAUGAAACUGCCUACGCAAGUAGUGAGGAAGGUGGGGAUGACGUCAAAUCAGCACGGCCCUUACGUCCAGGGCUACACACGUGCUACAAUGGCCGGUACAAAGGGCAGCUACCUGGUGACAGGAUGCUAAUCUCAAAAGCCGGUCUCAGUUCGGAUCGGAGUCUGCAACCCGACUCCGUGAAGUUGGAUUCGCUAGUAAUCGCGCAUCAGCCAUGGCGCGGUGAAUACGUUCCCGGGCCUU